RNAcentral lists this ribosomal RNA (848 nucleotides) under Peniophora pseudopini. Its description in RNAcentral is "partial large subunit ribosomal RNA". It matches the Rfam family "Eukaryotic large subunit ribosomal RNA", at positions 44 to 922 of the family's 3401-position model. The record is from RNAcentral. Lineage: Eukaryota; Fungi; Basidiomycota; Agaricomycetes; Russulales; Peniophoraceae.
CAAUAAGCGGAGGAAAAGAAACUAACAAGGAUUCCCCUAGUAACUGCGAGUGAAGCGGGAUGAGCUCAAAUUUAAAAUCUGGCGUCUUCGGCGUCCGAGUUGUAAUUUAGAGAAGUGUUUUCCGUGCCGGACCGUGUACAAGUCUCCUGGAACGGAGCGUCAUAGAGGGUGAGAAUCCCGUCUUUGACACGGACCCCCGGUGCUCUGUGAUACGCUCUCGAAGAGUCGAGUUGUUUGGGAAUGCAGCUCAAAAUGGGUGGUGAACUCCAUCUAAAGCUAAAUAUUGGCGAGAGACCGAUAGCGAACAAGUACCGUGAGGGAAAGAUGAAAAGCACUUUGGAAAGAGAGUGAAACAGUACGUGAAAUUGUUGAAAGGGAAACGCUUGAAGUCAGUCGCGUUCGCCGGGGCUCAGCCGCAAGGUGUACUCUCCGGUGAACGGGCCAGCAUCACUUUCGAUCAUCGGAAAAGGGCGAGGGGAAUGUGGCACCUUCGGGUGUGUUAUAGCCCUUCGUCGUAUACGGUGACCGGGAGUGAGGACCGCCUUUGUAGGAUGCUGGCGUAAUGGCUUUAAACGACCCGUCUUGAAACACGGACCAAGGAGUCUAACAUGCCCGCGAGUGUUCGGGUGGAAAACCCGUGCGCGUAAUGAAAGUGAAAGUUGGGAAGGCUGUCGCGGCCUGCACCGACGCCCGGACUUGAGAUUUAUCGAAGGUUCUGCGGUAGAGCGUGUAUGUUGGGACCCGAAAGAUGGUGAACUAUGCCUGAAUAGGGUGAAGCCAGAGGAAACUCUGGUGGAGGCUCGUAGCGAUUCUGACGUGCAAAUCGAUCGUCAAAUUUGGGUAUAGGG